UACGGGGGGAGCAAGCGUUGUUCGGAUUUACUGGGCGUAAAGGGCGCGUAGGCGGUCAGCACAAGUCAGUUGUGAAAUCUCCGGGCUUAACUCAGAAAGGUCAACUGAUACUGUGCGACUAGAGUGCGGAAGGGGCAACUGGAAUUCUCGGUGUAGCGGUGAAAUGCGUAGAUAUCGAGAGGAACACCUGCGGCGAAGGCGGGUUGCGGGGCCGACACUGACGCUGAUGCGCGAAAGCCAGGGGAGCGAACGGG
This 254-nucleotide ribosomal RNA is filed under the name uncultured bacterium. Its description in RNAcentral is "partial 16S ribosomal RNA". It matches the Rfam family "Bacterial small subunit ribosomal RNA", at positions 524 to 776 of the family's 1533-position model. The record is from RNAcentral.